Molecule: long non-coding RNA, 1214 nt
Organism: Osmia lignaria (orchard mason bee)
Lineage: Eukaryota; Metazoa; Arthropoda; Insecta; Hymenoptera; Megachilidae
Source: RefSeq, a predicted model, not a curated record
CCCUACACGUUUAAAAAUUAUACAUUCAAACUUAGGUUAAUACUCUUGUAUACAUUUUCUAAAGUUGAGACACGUAUGACCAAGGCUCUGCUGUUCAAAGAUUAAACAAAACAAUGAUACCUAUUGCUAUGGGAGAGUAUUUUAUUCGUCGUAAUAUUUGAUAUGCUAUGAGUUUUAAAAGUGUUAAUAUUGCAUCAAAGUUAAAACCGUGGUAUCUCAUAUUCGUGGUUUCCACUCGAUUAUCAGGAAAUUGUAGAUAUCCGCUAUCGAAUUGAUAUUUAUCGUAAAAUAUAACCAAGCUGAUUUUAGAUCAAGAGUCAGUCGAAAUCGCUCUCUAUACUCUGAUAGUGCACCCGUAUAAGAGUAGAUAUUCAAAAUAUGUGUAUAUUGGUAUAUCGGAACCGAAAGUGAACCGCAUCCUAAAUGUUGCGCUUGCGUGCCAUUGCAGCAGUCAAUGUAAGAGAGAAUGGUCAAUAUGAGACGGAAGGAACAGAAGCAAAGCUGGUAUACAUGACUGUCCGUUACGUGACAUCCGCCAUGUGAUAUAAAGGUGAACAACACAUUGGGACUUCAGGGGUGCAUUGAAAUUUUGCGGCUGCUGUUGCUACAUCAAGAGUACAUGCGCUUCCAUCUACCGGUAGCACACCACGACAGUUGUUACAUUACCUCUCCCACCGACUACAACAGCAACAACACGAGUGCUAUUUCACCGAGUACAUCAACUGUACCGUAAAGCUAAGUACAUACACACUUGGAUAUAACGUUUCAGCAUAAUGUAUCGCAACUGUUUCAAAAACAGUACUGGAACACUUCGGAUACAGUUUCGAAUCAAACGGGACACAAAUGUUUUAUGUUAAUACACGUUUAAUUAUAAACUUUCGUAACAACCUUCCUUUCUGGAAAGAUUAUGUGCAAGUAUCUAUAUUUGCAAUGACGGUUUUAAAUACAUAUGUCAUGGGCACAAGAUAUACAGUAACUACAUUGUUUUUUAAUUUCAAAAUCAACCCUUUUUAGCAUAAUUAAAUCUGGAACGACGGACCAUAGAGAGAGCCCCAAUUUUAACCCUUAUUACUCCUAUGUCGAAUGUGGCUCGAUAUCACAUUUCUUACACCAACUCCAAUGUCGAGCUAGACUCGACAUUAUACAACGCAAUUUCUAAAAUAAUUAAAAAUGUUUUAAUCUGAAUAUUUUAAUGUUUUAAUAUUGCAAUACAA